CCUACGGGUGGCUGCAGUGGGGAAUAUUGGACAAUGGGGGAAACCCUGAUCCAGCAAUACCGCGUGUGUGAAGAAGGCCUUAGGGUUGUAAAGCACUUUUGUUAGGGAGAACGGGACUUUUAGCUAAUAACUAGAGGUUUUGAUGUUACCUAAAGAAUAAGCACCGGCUAACUCCGUGCCAGCAGCCGCGGUAAUACGGAGGGUGCAAGCGUUAAUCGGAAUUACUGGGCGUAAAGGGCGCGUAGGUGGUACUUUAAGUUGGGUGUGAAAUCCCCGGGCUCAACCUGGGAAUUGCAUCCAAAACUGGAGUGCUAGAGUGUGGUAGAGGGUAGCGGAAUUUCUGGUGUAGCGGUGAAAUGCGUAGAUAUCAGAAGGAACAUCAAUGGCGAAGGCAGCUACCUGGGCCAACACUGACGCUGAGGCGCGAAAGCAUGGGGAGCAAACAGGAUUAGAUACCCGAGUAGUC
Molecule: ribosomal RNA, 466 nt
Filed under: uncultured Ignatzschineria sp.
Lineage: Bacteria; Pseudomonadati; Pseudomonadota; Gammaproteobacteria; Cardiobacteriales; Ignatzschineriaceae
Description: bacterial SSU rRNA
Rfam family: Bacterial small subunit ribosomal RNA
Source: RNAcentral